UACGUAGGGGGCGAGCGUUGUCCGAAGUUACUGGGCGUAAAGCGCGCGUAGGCGGGGUGGCAAGUCCGCUGUGAAAGCCCGGAGCUUAACUCCGGAGGGUCGGUGGAUACUGCCACUCUUGAAGGGACUAGGGGGAGAUGGAAUUACCGGUGUAGCGGUGAAAUGCGUAGAGAUCGGUAGGAACACCAGUGGCGAAGGCGGUCUCCUGGGGUUAUCUUGACGCUGAUGCGCGAAAGCUGGGGGAGCGAACGGGAUUAGAUACCCCGGUAGUCCCAGCCCUAAACGAUGGAUACUAGGUGUCGGGGGUAUCGACCCCUCCGGUGCCGCAGCUAACGCAGUAAGUAUCCCGCCUGGGGAGUACGGCCGCAAGGUUGAA
Molecule: ribosomal RNA, 376 nt
Filed under: uncultured bacterium
Lineage: Bacteria
Description: bacterial SSU rRNA
Rfam family: Bacterial small subunit ribosomal RNA
Source: RNAcentral